This 484-nucleotide ribosomal RNA is filed under the name uncultured bacterium. RNAcentral's name for it is "partial 16S ribosomal RNA". It matches the Rfam family "Bacterial small subunit ribosomal RNA", at positions 29 to 507 of the family's 1533-position model. The record is from RNAcentral.
AUUGAACGCUGGCGGCAUGCUUUACACAUGCAAGUCGAACGGCAGCGCGGGCUUCGGCCUGGCGGCGAGUGGCGAAGGGGUGAGUAAGACAUCGGAACGUGCCCAGUUGCGGGGGAGAGGGCGGUGAAGGCCGGAAUAAUACCGCAAAAGACCUUAGGGUGAAAGCGGGGGAGCAUGGGACCUUGCGCCCUUGGGGGGGCCGAUGGCGGAUUAGCUAGUUGGUGGGGUAAAGGCCUACCAAGGCGACGAUCUGUAGCUGGUCUGAGAGGACGACCAGCCACACUGGAACUGAGACACGGCCCAGACUCCUACGGGAGGCAGCAGUGGGGAAUUUUGGACAAUGGGCGAAAGCCUGAUCCAGCAAUGCCGCGUGUGUGAUGAAGGCCUUCGGGUUGUAAAGCCCUUUUGGCGGGAACGAAAAGGACUGUGCCAAUACCACGGUUCGAUGACGGUACCCGCAGAAUAAGCACCGGCUAACUACGUG